GUGGGGAAUAUUGGACAAUGGGCGCAAGCCUGAUCCAGCCAUGCCGCGUGAGUGAUGAAGGCCUUAGGGUUGUAAAGCUCUUUCAGUGGGGACGAUAAUGACGGUACCCACAGAAGAAGCCCCGGCUAACUUCGUGCAAGCAGCCGCGGUAAUACGAAGGGGGCUAGCGUUGUUCGGAUUUACUGGGCGUAAAGCGCACGUAGGCGGAUCGUUAAGUCGGGGGUGAAAUCCUGGAGCUCAACUCCAGAACUGCCUUCGAUACUGGCGAUCUUGAGUCCGGAAGAGGUGAGUGGAACUCCUAGUGUAGAGGUGGAAUUCGUAGAUAUUAGGAAGAACACCAGUGGCGAAGGCGGCUCACUGGUCCGGUACUGACGCUGAGGUGCGAAAGCGUGGGGAGCAAACAGGAUUAGAUACCCCGGUAGUCC
Molecule: ribosomal RNA, 425 nt
Filed under: uncultured bacterium
Lineage: Bacteria
Description: partial 16S ribosomal RNA
Rfam family: Bacterial small subunit ribosomal RNA
Source: RNAcentral